UGGUCAAGUUAUUAAGGGUGCAGGGCGGAUGCCUUGGCACUAGGAGCCGAUGAAGGACGUGAUAAGCUGCGAUAAGCUUCGGGGAGUUGCACGUAAACUUUGAUCCGAAGAUUUCCGAAUGAGGAAACUCACUUAGAGUAAUGUCUAAGUAUCAUUAAGUGAAUACAUAGCUUAAUGAGGGGAACUCAGGGAACUGAAACAUCUAAGUACCUGAAGGAAGAGAAAGAAAUUCGAUUCCGUAAGUAGCGGCGAGCGAACGCGGAUUAGCCCAAACCAAUCAAGUUUUCUUUAUUGGGGUUGCGGACAUAUCAUAACGAAGAGGUAUCGUAAUUGAAGAGGUUUGGAAAGACCCACCACCGAAGGUAAUAGUCCUGUAUGUUAAACGAGAAGACUUUAGAUAUGAUCCAGAGUACCACGGGACACGUGAAACCCUGUGGGAAGCAGGAGGGACCACCCUCCAAGGCUAAAUACUACCUAGUGACCGAUAGCGUAUAGUACCGUGAGGGAAAGGGGAAAAGAACCCCGGGAGGGGAGUGAAAUAGAACCUGAAACCCUGUACUUACAAGCUGUGGAAGCACAUUUCUUGUGUGACCGCGUACUUUUUGUAGAACGGGCCAACGAGUUACGUUAAGUAGCAAGGUUAAGCACUUAAGGUG
This 656-nucleotide ribosomal RNA is filed under the name Clostridioides difficile. Its description in RNAcentral is "bacterial LSU rRNA". It matches the Rfam family "Bacterial large subunit ribosomal RNA", at positions 1 to 660 of the family's 2925-position model. The record is from RNAcentral. Lineage: Bacteria; Bacillati; Bacillota; Clostridia; Peptostreptococcales; Peptostreptococcaceae.